CGCCGCGUGAGUGAUGAAGGCCCUUGGGUCGUAAAGCUCUGUCAAUGGGGAAGAAACAGCAGAGGGUUAAUAUCCUUUUGCCUUGACGGUACCCAUGAAGGAAGCACCGGCUAACUCCGUGCCAGCAGCCGCGGUAAUACGGGGGGUGCAAGCGUUAUUCGGAAUUAUUGGGCGUAAAGGGCGCGUAGGCGGCCAUUUAAGUCAGAUGUGAAAGCCCGGGGCUCAACCCCGGAAGUGCAUUUGAAACUGGAUGGCUUGAGUAUGGGAGAGGGAAGUGGAAUUCCAGGUGUAGAGGUGAAAUUCGUAGAUAUCUGGAGGAACACCAGUGGCGAAGGCGACUUCCUGGACCAAUACUGACGCUGAGGCGCGAAGGCGUGGGGAGCAAACAGGAUU
RNAcentral lists this ribosomal RNA (393 nucleotides) under uncultured bacterium. RNAcentral describes it as "bacterial SSU rRNA". It matches the Rfam family "Bacterial small subunit ribosomal RNA", at positions 395 to 779 of the family's 1533-position model. The record is from RNAcentral.